RNAcentral lists this ribosomal RNA (2932 nucleotides) under Escherichia coli. RNAcentral describes it as "23S ribosomal RNA". It matches the Rfam family "Bacterial large subunit ribosomal RNA". Lineage: Bacteria; Pseudomonadati; Pseudomonadota; Gammaproteobacteria; Enterobacterales; Enterobacteriaceae. The record is from RNAcentral.
GGGUUGUGAGGUUAAGCGACUAAGCGUACACGGUGGAUGCCCUGGCAGUCAGAGGCGAUGAAGGACGUGCUAAUCUGCGAUAAGCGUCGGUAAGGUGAUAUGAACCGUUAUAACCGGCGAUUUCCGAAUGGGGAAACCCAGUGUGAUUCGUCACACUAUCAUUAACUGAAUCCAUAGGUUAAUGAGGCGAACCGGGGGAACUGAAACAUCUAAGUACCCCGAGGAAAAGAAAUCAACCGAGAUUCCCCCAGUAGCGGCGAGCGAACGGGGAGCAGCCCAGAGCCUGAAUCAGUGUGUGUGUUAGUGGAAGCGUCUGGAAAGGCGCGCGAUACAGGGUGACAGCCCCGUACACAAAAAUGCACAUGCUGUGAGCUCGAUGAGUAGGGCGGGACACGUGGUAUCCUGUCUGAAUAUGGGGGGACCAUCCUCCAAGGCUAAAUACUCCUGACUGACCGAUAGUGAACCAGUACCGUGAGGGAAAGGCGAAAAGAACCCCGGCGAGGGGAGUGAAAAAGAACCUGAAACCGUGUACGUACAAGCAGUGGGAGCACAGAGCAAUCUGUGUGACUGCGUACCUUUUGUAUAAUGGGUCAGCGACUUAUAUUCUGUAGCAAGGUUAACCGAAUAGGGGAGCCGAAGGGAAACCGAGUCUUAACUGGGCGUUAAGUUGCAGGGUAUAGACCCGAAACCCGGUGAUCUAGCCAUGGGCAGGUUGAAGGUUGGGUAACACUAACUGGAGGACCGAACCGACUAAUGUUGAAAAAUUAGCGGAUGACUUGUGGCUGGGGGUGAAAGGCCAAUCAAACCGGGAGAUAGCUGGUUCUCCCCGAAAGCUAUUUAGGUAGCGCCUCGUGAAUUCAUCUCCGGGGGUAGAGCACUGUUUCGGCAAGGGGGUCAUCCCGACUUACCAACCCGAUGCAAACUGCGAAUACCGGAGAAUGUUAUCACGGGAGACACACGGCGGGUGCUAACGUCCGUCGUGAAGAGGGAAACAACCCAGACCGCCAGCUAAGGUCCCAAAGUCAUGGUUAAGUGGGAAACGAUGUGGGAAGGCCCAGACAGCCAGGAUGUUGGCUUAGAAGCAGCCAUCAUUUAAAGAAAGCGUAAUAGCUCACUGGUCGAGUCGGCCUGCGCGGAAGAUGUAACGGGGCUAAACCAUGCACCGAAGCUGCGGCAGCGACACUGUGUGUUGUUGGGUAGGGGAGCGUUCUGUAAGCCUGCGAAGGUGUGCUGUGAGGCAUGCUGGAGGUAUCAGAAGUGCGAAUGCUGACAUAAGUAACGAUAAAGCGGGUGAAAAGCCCGCUCGCCGGAAGACCAAGGGUUCCUGUCCAACGUUAAUCGGGGCAGGGUGAGUCGACCCCUAAGGCGAGGCCGAAAGGCGUAGUCGAUGGGAAACAGGUUAAUAUUCCUGUACUUGGUGUUACUGCGAAGGGGGGACGGAGAAGGCUAUGUUGGCCGGGCGACGGUUGUCCCGGUUUAAGCGUGUAGGCUGGUUUUCCAGGCAAAUCCGGAAAAUCAAGGCUGAGGCGUGAUGACGAGGCACUACGGUGCUGAAGCAACAAAUGCCCUGCUUCCAGGAAAAGCCUCUAAGCAUCAGGUAACAUCAAAUCGUACCCCAAACCGACACAGGUGGUCAGGUAGAGAAUACCAAGGCGCUUGAGAGAACUCGGGUGAAGGAACUAGGCAAAAUGGUGCCGUAACUUCGGGAGAAGGCACGCUGAUAUGUAGGUGAAGUCCCUCGCGGAUGGAGCUGAAAUCAGUCGAAGAUACCAGCUGGCUGCAACUGUUUAUUAAAAACACAGCACUGUGCAAACACGAAAGUGGACGUAUACGGUGUGACGCCUGCCCGGUGCCGGAAGGUUAAUUGAUGGGGUUAGCGCAAGCGAAGCUCUUGAUCGAAGCCCCGGUAAACGGCGGCCGUAACUAUAACGGUCCUAAGGUAGCGAAAUUCCUUGUCGGGUAAGUUCCGACCUGCACGAAUGGCGUAAUGAUGGCCAGGCUGUCUCCACCCGAGACUCAGUGAAAUUGAACUCGCUGUGAAGAUGCAGUGUACCCGCGGCAAGACGGAAAGACCCCGUGAACCUUUACUAUAGCUUGACACUGAACAUUGAGCCUUGAUGUGUAGGAUAGGUGGGAGGCUUUGAAGUGUGGACGCCAGUCUGCAUGGAGCCGACCUUGAAAUACCACCCUUUAAUGUUUGAUGUUCUAACGUGGACCCGUGAUCCGGGUUGCGGACAGUGUCUGGUGGGUAGUUUGACUGGGGCGGUCUCCUCCUAAAGAGUAACGGAGGAGCACGAAGGUUGGCUAAUCCUGGUCGGACAUCAGGAGGUUAGUGCAAUGGCAUAAGCCAGCUUGACUGCGAGCGUGACGGCGCGAGCAGGUGCGAAAGCAGGUCAUAGUGAUCCGGUGGUUCUGAAUGGAAGGGCCAUCGCUCAACGGAUAAAAGGUACUCCGGGGAUAACAGGCUGAUACCGCCCAAGAGUUCAUAUCGACGGCGGUGUUUGGCACCUCGAUGUCGGCUCAUCACAUCCUGGGGCUGAAGUAGGUCCCAAGGGUAUGGCUGUUCGCCAUUUAAAGUGGUACGCGAGCUGGGUUUAGAACGUCGUGAGACAGUUCGGUCCCUAUCUGCCGUGGGCGCUGGAGAACUGAGGGGGGCUGCUCCUAGUACGAGAGGACCGGAGUGGACGCAUCACUGGUGUUCGGGUUGUCAUGCCAAUGGCACUGCCCGGUAGCUAAAUGCGGAAGAGAUAAGUGCUGAAAGCAUCUAAGCACGAAACUUGCCCCGAGAUGAGUUCUCCCUGACCCUUUAAGGGUCCUGAAGGAACGUUGAAGACGACGACGUUGAUAGGCCGGGUGUGUAAGCGCAGCGAUGCGUUGAGCUAACCGGUACUAAUGAACCGUGAGGCUUAACCUUACAACGCCGAAGGUGUUU